GCUCCCCCGAUGCUACACCAGACUUCUACUUCAUGCCGUCCCAGCGGAAACACGAAGAAUUCUGAUGGCGUUCGCGGAUUACUAACAUAAGUUACCAUUAAGCAACGUAGUUUCUUUCGAUCGCACAUUUUCCAUACCAGUUCUAGUCUCUCGUCACAGUUUUAAAUUAAGUUACGCCCCGAAACUACAUUCGUCCGACUGCUCAGAUGGCAAAUGCUAUAAUUCGAAUGUAGUUUCCAUUAUUAUGUAAAUAAUGCUGUUUAUUAAAGCAAUAUUACGCGUUUCAUUUAUUUUAUUAACCUAUAUAAAAUAAGUCUUCCAAAAUCAUAGAUGGCGUUGUUGAUAGAUUUUGAUUUUUGAAAGCAGCGCCAUCUGUCGGUGCUGCGCGGCGCUUUAUAAGUGGAGGCGGAAUGCUCAUGUUAAGGAAUUUAUAUGUAUGUAGUUUUAGUUAUAAUUGUUGAUUUGUAUAAAUCGGAGUUUAUUUGAUAAUUAAUGGAAUUGGUUGCCAGUAUGUUCUAAAAUGUUUUUAUAUUAUUGUAUAAAAUUUAGCUCUUAUCAGCUUUAAAAUAAGAAUGUAUAAGAAUUAACAAAUCUGUACAAGGAAUGACAACUUAAAUAGAGUAAUUUUAUAUAUGAAAAUCUAAGGUAAUUAUUUUUAAUUUGUGUAAGCAUUACAAACUUCUAUUAUUUUUGUAUAUAUUGUAAUGUUAUAUGUAUACAUAACACAUUUCAUUGACUUUACCCUAGAUACAUAAGAGAGUAAUAAUUUAUAUGACGUAACUCCAUAGUUUUAACAGAGUAUUAAUAAUACAGUACCAAACCUAAGAUUAAUGAUGAAUAAAUAUUAUUUUGAUAGAGAA
This is a long non-coding RNA of Zerene cesonia (dogface butterfly), 860 nucleotides long. RefSeq lists it as uncharacterized. The record is from RefSeq and is a predicted model, not a curated record. NCBI's taxonomy places the organism in Eukaryota, Metazoa, Arthropoda, Insecta, Lepidoptera, Pieridae. The transcript has 2 exons.